Molecule: long non-coding RNA, 404 nt
Organism: Chroicocephalus ridibundus (black-headed gull)
Lineage: Eukaryota; Metazoa; Chordata; Aves; Charadriiformes; Laridae
Exons: 3
Source: RefSeq, a predicted model, not a curated record
GAACUACAGGAGCUUUGGUUCUUACAGUGAGCUGAGAAAAUAAGAAAAGGACAAUUAUGCUGUUGGGAAGGAAUGCAUGUUUUUCCACUGUGUUAAAAGGAUAAGAGGAAAAACCUUCAUUAGAAGCACUCGUGCAGUAUAAUCGACAUAGCUGCAUGGAAGAGAGAUGAACAGGGAGAAUGCAAAGAAAGGGUAAUAUAAGGGGGGGAAAUGACUGAAAAAUAAGUAAUUUAAGGAGAAUGAUGACAUCAGUUGCCACUUGGAGAAAGAGACUACAAUUUAUAUACGUUCUGUGUAUCUCCGUGUCUUCUCUUUGGCACUUCAAAUGGACAUGGCAGAAGUAGUUGAUCUCCUUUCCAACCAUCUGCAUCCACAACCAUGAGCACUUCUGGAAGAGGACAGAG